ACUGUUAUCCCUUUUGGUAAAUUGAAAUAAGCAUUCUGUGGCAUCUUUGGAAGCAGUAGUCAUGACUACAAGAUUGUGAGACUCUACUACUAAGCUCAAUUAAAAAAAAUUCUGGAAGGAGAAAAGGAGGUCAAGAGGUGAUGGUUUUGUAUUGUGUUUGCAAUUAUUUGGAGUAUUUGUUUACGAGGAAUCAUAUAAUUUGCAAGGGUCAGUACUUCAAUUUUCUGUCAUUAUGAGGCAAAAUUGCUUUCUUAGCUUCCCUGCAGAGUUCAGCUUCUACUCACAUGUAAAGAAUAUGGUGUCCAACAUUCGAUGUGAUUGGAGGGUUUUACUUUGUUAAUUUUAUCAUGUUGUCCUUAUCCUAUUAUUAAGAGGAUGACUAGUACAUAAUUCUUGUGAUUGUCCUUUUUUCUUCUUAUCUCCAAUAAAGUCUCUGUUUAUAU
RNAcentral lists this unclassified non-coding RNA (443 nucleotides) under Hevea brasiliensis (rubber tree). The record is from RNAcentral. Lineage: Eukaryota; Viridiplantae; Streptophyta; Magnoliopsida; Malpighiales; Euphorbiaceae.